RNAcentral lists this long non-coding RNA (1548 nucleotides) under Solanum tuberosum (potato). Its description in RNAcentral is "long non-coding RNA (STUB_LNC009161)". The record is from RNAcentral. Lineage: Eukaryota; Viridiplantae; Streptophyta; Magnoliopsida; Solanales; Solanaceae.
UCACAAUCACAUAUUAUCCCAGUCACUAUUUCUCUCCAUUUCUCAUGAAAUAGGAGAAUAGCUGGAAGCUGACAGGGUCGAUACAUUGUUUAUAGUGGUGAGUUCGACAAUGCUCAAGGUUUUUACAUGUUUAAUAAGCUAACACCACUCAAGGUUUAAAGAUCAGAGGAAGUGGGGAUGGAUAGUCAGAGAGCGAGAAAUUGAAUAGGACGUUCGCCUGCACUAUGAUAAAUUUUUCUGACAACUUAUUACCUUACGCUGUCAAUAUUUGAUUAUUUUCUACAAAGUAAUAUGCAUCUUUAACUUUUAAAAAUUCAGUAUUUCCAUCUGUAUCAUUGACCAUACGGCUAAAAGGCAAUAUUCUCAUUCUAUAAUUAGUCUGGUCCAGAUUCAGUUGGGAUUUUUGUCAUCUCACAUAGUUACAGUGGAGUGGUAGCCCGAGCAUGUGGUCUUGCUAGUUUAGAACCAACAAAGGUAAACAUUUGUUAAUUUAGAAAUAUUACUGUUGCUCCGUUGCUAGUUUUGGUCCUUUUAUGAUUAAUGUAGAUGUUGUUACUUUUUUCUAACUAAAAUAUUUUACAGAUUGCUGAGAUCCUCAAAGAUCGAACUGCUUGGUUUCAGGACUGCUGAAACGUCUAAGUUUUCACAAUGUUUUUUGUAGGAAAUGGUGGUACAAUUGAGCUUUUAUAUACACAAGUGAGUACCUUCUCUUUAAUCUUUAUGUAGGCUUUUGAUUGGAUUAGCUUCAGUACUAAGGGGAUCAAUUAAAUCAUUUAUUUCGGAUAUAUGCUCCUACCACUCUGCCUCCUGCAUAUGAUUUUCGGACGCUCAGAUACACAGCCACCCUAGACAAUGGUAGCAUUGUGGUAAACAAUCCUUCACAUUAGUGUGAGCGACCUGGGCACUUUUAUACUUAGUUCUGAUAUUCCACAUUUAACUAGUCUUUAAACAUCUCAAUCCUUGGAUUGAAUAGGAGUCUAGAAUGUAAUAUGUUUGGGUCAUAUUUAACUAAAUGCUGCAUUAUAAUUUCCAUAUACACCUUUAAGGAUCUCGCUACUUCAGUAUGACACUUUGCUCUAUUGUUUGUGAUUCUUAGUAGUGAAUUCUAUUAGUUGUGCCAUCUCAUAUAUGUUGCUGAUAUUUUCUUUUAAUAAAUAAGUGCAUAGCACACUUUUUUUGCAGCUAGUGAACCAUUUUCCUUCAUGGAUGCAAAUUAUCCAGUGAUAAUUGUUGACGAGGCAACCGUUGGUGUCUUGUAAUCGUAUUAUAUAAUUAGUUUCGAUAAUGUUAUUGCAUGAUUGGAUCGGGUCACAAUGAUUAGAGUGGAUGAUGUGUUUAACAAUUGAACCGGGUAGUAAGGAUAAUAUAAAUGUAUUCAUGGUGGAGUUGAAUACAUUGUAUGGCAUAACUAAGCUCUCCCAACCAAUGAUAUGCAAACAAUUUUAUAUUAGCACUGUGAAGUUUCUCACUUAAUCUUUUUUCUUAAUUGUUGGCAGCAGUAUCAUUGUGGGAGUUCCUAACCCCGCAGUAUGUAAAAUAAAUCCCCGC